GGUUCAUUCAAAUUUCUGCCUAUCAACUUUCGAUGGUAGGAUAGUGGCCUACCAUGGUUUCAACGGGUAACGGGGAAUUAGGGUUCUAUUCCGGAGAGGGAGCCUGAGAAACGGCUACCACAUCCAAGGAAGGCAGCAGGCGCGCAAAUUACCCAAUCCCGACCGGGGAGGUAGUGACAAUAAAUACUGAUGCAGGGGUCUUUCGGCCCAUGCAAUUGGAAUGAGUACAAUUUAAAUCCCUUAACGAGGAACAAUUGGAGGGCAAGUCUGGUGCCAGCAGCCGCGGUAAUUCCAGCUCCAAUAGCGUAUAUUAAAGUUGUUGCAGUUAAAAAGCUCGUAGUUG
RNAcentral lists this ribosomal RNA (343 nucleotides) under uncultured fungus. RNAcentral's name for it is "SSU rRNA". It matches the Rfam family "Eukaryotic small subunit ribosomal RNA", at positions 292 to 636 of the family's 1831-position model. The record is from RNAcentral. Lineage: Eukaryota; Fungi.